CACUAGUAAACUACAAAUCAGAAAGCUCAUAUAUAAAGUUCUGUUCCACUCUCCUACCAACCUCCCUUGUUCCACCACUUCUUUAAAAUCAUGAUAACAAACUUCACGAAUUACUGGGAAUAGAACCCUGCAAAUAUGCUACUCCUUCCCGUGCUUUCACUCUCUUCCUUUCCCUCUCUUGUUCCUAACCACUCUCUCCGAUUUCAAUCUCGUUGGAACCGAUGUGCUUCUCGCCGCGCCAUAAGAUGUGCCGCUGCGUCCUCAGGAGGCGACGGCGAUGCGUUCACGGCGAAGUCUGGGUACCUGUUUGAAUUGAGCGUGACGGAGGCGGAUUCUCUGGCUGAGUACCGAAUAUCUAAAAUCGCGGCUAUUUAUUCGAGGAAGCCUCUGCUCGUGGCUCGUCGGUUGGUUCAGACCGGAAUAGCGUUCGGCAAGUGGUUCGGUCUUCGCUACUUCGACUCUCUAUUGGACCGCUCCGAGUCGAUGUUUCAGGUUAGAGCUGCAGAGCUAAGAAAGAUAUUGGUGGAGCUUGGGCCGGCAUAUAUCAAAAUUGCCCAGGCUAUAUCAUCUCGUGCUGAUUUGAUACCACCAUCAUACCUAGAUGAGCUUUCACUACUACAAGAUCGAAUAAGUCCAUUUUCCACUGAAGUUGCUUUCAAUAUGAUAGAACAAGAACUGGGUUUAUCUUUGGUUGAACUUUUCUCAGAGAUUUCACCCGAGCCUGUUGCUGCUGCAUCCCUUGGGCAGGUUUAUCAAGCUAGGCUUCGCAAAACAGGACAGAUUGUUGCCGUUAAGGUGCAAAGACCUGGAGUUCAAGCCGCAAUUUCCCUUGACAUAUUAAUCUUGCGUUUUAUGGCAGGAUUGAUUAGGAGAGCUGGCAAACUUAAUACUGAUCUUCAGGCAGUUGUUGAUGAGUGGGCAUCAAGUCUUUUCCGGGAAUUUAUAUGGUUCAAUACCAGAUGUGGUGGUUCCUUUAAUGUACAUGAAGUACACAACUCGCAAGGUCCUUGUUAUGGAAUGGAUUGAGGGGGAAAAGUUGUCUGAAGUGAAGGAUCUCUACCUGAUUGAGGUUGGAGUUUACUGCUCAUUCAAUCAACUUCUUGAGUGUGGGUUCUAUCAUGCAGAUCCGCACCCUGGAAAUCUUCUUCGAACAUAUGAUGGAAAAUUAGCUUAUUUGGGUAAUUGAAGAUAAAAAAUUUGAGAUUUAAAUUUCCAAAUCAUUUUUGUUCUCAUAUGCAUAUAAUAUCUCAUUCCUUCUUAUCUCAUUCCAAAUCACUAAAAUGACUUUUGUACGCUUGAUCUUAUCCAUGGCUACCAUCCACCACUAGAUCCUUCAUCAACUUGACAUCAAGAAUGCAUUCCUUCACAUUGACCUUGCUGAGGAAGUUUAUAGAGAGCAACCUCCUGGUUUGUUGCUCAGCAGGAGUCUUCAGGAUUAGUUUGUUGUCUUCAGAAAUCCUUGUAUGGUCUUAAACAGUCUCAAAGAGCUUGGUUUAGUAGAUUCAGCAUUGUUGUCCAAAUGAAUUUUGUCGUCUUUCGAAAUUCUUAUAUGGUCUUAAACAAAUGAAUUUUCACAAAUUUUUGUAGGCUACACACUACUCUUUCUCCUGAUUUGCUUAUCAUGUGUUUCACUAGUUUAGAAAGAAUUGAACACCUGAUCUUACCCAUUAAGGUGACUUUUUUAUGGAGCAAUUAUUUGGGAUUUUUGGUGAACAUUGGGUAUAUUUGGACUUUGGACUUUGGAGGACCAAUUACUUGGACAAGGCUUUGGCAAGGAGGCAAAAUUUUUGUUGCAAAUUGCCUAAUUUAAAUUUAUGCAGUCAUUUGGUGUAUGUUUGGAGCAGAAUGCUCACAUUUUUCAGGUUGUUUCUCUUACCCUCUAACUUGUUGUGGAUUAAGAUUUUGUCUAUAUGACCCCACGAAGAUUUUGUGAAGAUGGAAGCUAGUUGAUCCUUUGAAGGGACAGAAAUAGUCUUGAUGACCAGAGAAUCAUUCCUAUGAUGAAAGAGCAACCAACUUCUAUAUUCUUAGUCCUUGCAUGAAAAACUGAAUUUGAGAAAAGGUGCAAGGUUGAUUGAUCGUCACACACUAGUCAUUAGUGUUAAUCCUAUUAAUAAUAUCUGUCCUGACAAAAGAUUUGACCUUACGGGAUGGAUCUUUGCACCUCCAUAUGGAUUGGUCCAAUAUAAACUGUUCAGAGAAGAGCGAAUGAGAGUCACAGACAGUGAAAUCAGUGCAUCUAAACUGCAUAGUGGAGCUGAACUAUAUAAGCAAUAAAUAAUAAAUACCUAUAUUAGUUAUCCUAAUUUCCAUAAUUUUGGCCAAUAUGGCAAGUUUGUUCUAUUUUAGUGUUUACUGUUAUGUAUACUGAUGGACUUCAGAAGAUAUAUUUGUGUAUACUGUAUAGACACAAAUAGGAUGUUAUCUUUCAAUUUCUUUUCUCUUGUACCAGAUUUUGGUAUGACAGGUGAAUUCAAACAAGAGUUGCGGGAUGGAUUCAUCCAAGCUUGUCUACAUCUUGUAAAUCGUGAUUUUGAUGCCUUAGCUAAGGACUUUGUUACUCUUGGGCUUCUUCCACCAACUGCAGACAGAGAAGCUGUUACAAAGGCUUUGACAGGUGUCUUCCAAAAUGCUGUUGCCAAAGGAGUUCGUAAUAUAAGCUUUGGAGAUCUUCUAGGAAACUUAGGAACAACCAUGUAUAAAUUCAAAUUUAGGAUACCUUCAUACUUCUCACUUGUCAUUCGAAGCCUUGCUGUACUGGAAGGAAUUGCAAUCAGCUUUAACCCUGAGUACAAAGUUUUGGGUAGUACUUACCCUUGGAUUGCUCGAAAAGUACUUACGGAUAGCUCUCCUCAGCUUAAAUCUUCUUUAGAGACUCUUCUUUAUGAGGAUGGUGUUUUCAGAAUAGACCGUCUAGAGUCUUUGCUGAGAGAGAAAAGCCUUUGGUAAAACAACAAACUGAAGGCACUGAUUCAAGGAUAGUUGUGAAGGAAAUUCUUACUUUUACACUAACAGAUAAGGGUGAAUUUGUGAGGGAAAUACUUGUUCAAGAAUUUGCUAAAGGUUUAGAUGCACUUGGGCUAGCAACAUUGGAGACAGCUGCUGCAAGAGUUCCUUUCAGUGCUUUCUGCUUUUCCUCUUUAAUGACUGAAGAGGAUAUAAUCAACUUGAGAACCUUCCAACGCCUUAUGCUAUUGCUAUUAGGGACCAGAAGAAAAGAAGACUACGAUAAUGGAAGCAGACAGGUCAGUCCUUACAGGAAUCAAAUACUGUACCCGGAGGAGCUGACGUCAGUUUUGAAUCAAGUUGAAUCUAUUCAAGACAUUCUUCCUGUUCUUUCUAUCAUUCCUGAGCUCCCACAAGAAUCCCAGCAGCAAUUAGUUGAAUUGCCAGCUAGAAUGGUUAGACAGUUAAUAUCCCGGGCUGCUGCAAGAACUAUAAGGAGGGUGUUUUUGUGAUUUGCAUGUACAGAAGCAGCUGAAAUCUGUUUAUGCUUCUCAUCAAGUGACCAGAGAACAUUUUCAAAAAAUAGGACUUAUUACGAGGCCUUCAAUCUGCGUAAUGUAAGCUUGAAUACAUUUUUUAUUCCACAAUAAUUUUUUUGUUUUCAAUUUAAUCUAUUCUUAAUUUUAUUUUUAUUGUAAGUAUUUGCUGAAGGUAACUUAGAUUCUUUCCAUAAACCUCAAAUUAUAAUGUAGACCCAAUGCAUCAGUACCCAUCACCCACACAUUCUUUUGUGUUCAACAAUCAUCCCAAUGCAUACUUUAUUUCUUC
RNA transcript from Abrus precatorius (Indian licorice), 3774 nucleotides. RefSeq lists it as uncharacterized. The transcript is spliced from 19 exons. NCBI's taxonomy places the organism in Eukaryota, Viridiplantae, Streptophyta, Magnoliopsida, Fabales, Fabaceae. The record is from RefSeq and is a predicted model, not a curated record.